Molecule: long non-coding RNA, 298 nt
Organism: Melanotaenia boesemani (Boeseman's rainbowfish)
Lineage: Eukaryota; Metazoa; Chordata; Actinopteri; Atheriniformes; Melanotaeniidae
Exons: 3
Source: RefSeq, a predicted model, not a curated record
GGAGCCAUUUACCUGUCCAGCCUGUACUCCACAAACGUUAGCUGUGUCUGUGGAUGGAAACCAGAAGCUUUACCGCUUCAGAAAGGAUGCACACUCUGAUGGAAAGGGUUACUUUGAAGGUGUGCUUCUCUGUCGAGAUGAUGAGGUAGCAGCGUUUGUGGAAGACAUACAAAAGAGGGCAAAGCAUGUACCAGGAAAAGGGGUCUGUGGCAAAUCUCUACUGAAAGCAGCCAAAGAGACCUCAAACCAGAGAAAUAGCUCCAACCUUGAUGAGCAGGUAAAUGUUUUAAAGUUUCUG